Molecule: long non-coding RNA, 1064 nt
Organism: Canis lupus familiaris (dog)
Lineage: Eukaryota; Metazoa; Chordata; Mammalia; Carnivora; Canidae
Exons: 3
Source: RefSeq, a predicted model, not a curated record
UUCAUUCCCUCCAGAGAGGGAAAAGAGGGGCUGGAAAUUGAGUUCAAUCACCAUUGUCAAUGAUUUAGUCAGCUAUGCCUACGUAAUGAAGCUAUUAUAAAAACCCAAUAGAAAAGCAUUUUCAGAGCUUCCAGGCCCCAACCACUGCUUCUUUUGUGUCAAUCAGAAAUCGCUAGAUUAUACAGCAUUAUUAAAGAACACAACCUUGCAGUGACUCAUCACAACGAAGUUUAUUUCUUGUUCAACGUGCCCUACAGUCUGGGCACCCCUCCAAAGCAGCUGUUCACUAUGUGGCAGCUCAGAAUCCCAGGCUGCUUCAGUCUUAUGGCACCUACCUCUCAACACAAUUCUCCACGGUCCACUCUGAAGGAAAUGAAAGCGUGGAAGAGUCUGCAUCAGGAAUCCAACAGAGUGACCUCAGAGAUCAUGUGUUGAGAAUGGCAGCCCCACGAGAUUAAAUGAACCUGGAUCUACAAGUCUCUGUUCCUGGAGGAAAGCCGUAGGCCACCUGUAUUGGACUUUGUAUGAGAGAAAAAAAAAACUUAUAUGAUGCUAAGCUAUAUAGCUUUGGGAUUUUUUGGGAUUUGUUUAUUGCCCCACUUCACAAUCUCAAAUAUUCUUUACUGAAAUAUACUUGACAUAUAUUAGUUUCACAUGUAUGACACAAUGAUUUGAUAUUUGUACAUAUUGUAAAAUAACCACAAUGACUCCUGUUAAAAUUCAUCAUCACACAAAGUUAUAAUUUUUUUUCUUAGGAUGAGAACUUUUAAGAUCUGUUUCUAUUAGUAACUUUCAAGUAUACAGUACAGUAUUAACUACAGUCACCAUGCUGUACAUUAUAUCCGCAGGACUUAGUGAUUUUAUAACUGGAAAGUUGUACCUUUUGGCCACCUUCUCUCAUUUUGCCCACCUGCCACCCUCUGGCUCUGGCAACCACCAAUCUGUUCUUUAUGUCUGUAAUUUUGGAUGUUUUUCCAAUUUGUUUGUUUUAGAUUGCACAUAUGUGUAAGAUCAUAUGGUAUUUGUCUUUCUCUGUCUUAGUUAUGCCUUUGGCAUAAUGCCCU